UCGCGGAAGGUCAAUAUCUGACUGGAGCUGGGUUCGAUUUGAGGACAUUUACGUGUGUUGGAAAGAAUUUUGAAGUUGGUUAUCAGUAAACUGUAAUUGUAUCUGUUGACCAUACAAAGGAGAAGUCGUCCUCGGAUGUGGAUGAGAGUCAACCCAGACAGUUCGACAGGUGUCUGAUGAGAGUUUUCUCCCCACCCCCCUGGACAUAGCUCCGGCAGCUCCAUUUGGGACAUGGUCUAACAUCUCCGACAAGCUGGCAUCCCAUGACCCCAUAGCCCCCCCUGCCGCUAGAGAGGACCCUAUCCUCGCCGCCCAAUCCGAUGACGGGGCGUCCGUGAGCACCACACGCGAGAUUGGCGUGUGUACAGAUUUGUGCAACAGUGAAGAACCAGAUGAGGUAGAGAUUCUCAGCCUGAUUAAUGAGCAGAUCCCCAAAUACCGUCUCCGUGCCGACACCAUCACUGAGUUCGGUGGCUACAACAACGAGGACUGGAUACAGACUCCCGUCAUCCCGCUAGACACAGAUCUAGCACUCACUGACGAACAGAUCCAGGAAACUCUCAAGU
Molecule: long non-coding RNA, 566 nt
Organism: Haliotis rubra (blacklip abalone)
Lineage: Eukaryota; Metazoa; Mollusca; Gastropoda; Lepetellida; Haliotidae
Exons: 3
Source: RefSeq, a predicted model, not a curated record